Molecule: long non-coding RNA, 383 nt
Filed under: Elaeis guineensis (African oil palm)
Lineage: Eukaryota; Viridiplantae; Streptophyta; Magnoliopsida; Arecales; Arecaceae
Description: long non-coding RNA (EGUI_LNC028298)
Source: RNAcentral
GUGGGGUACUGACUUGUUUCAGCUGAUCUGACAAAUUUAUUUUUGAAAAUAUAUCAUAGAACAAUACAUCGAUAGAGCUUUCAUUAUCAACCAAAAUUCUCUUUACAUCAUAAUUCGCUACUGUCAUAGAGAUGGCAAUAGCAUCAUUAUGAGGUGUUUGAAUCUCCUUUACAUCAUUUUCAGAAAAAGAAUAACUUCUAUCUUCUAUCUCUUAGGAGAUGGAUCAUCAAUACUUUAUAAGACACUGGAUAUCAUGUGAAUAACCCCAGCAGUAGAUCGAUUAUGGUCCUCAGAGCUUCCUUCUGCCUAGGGUUAGUAUUCUAAGGUCUUGCUCGAUCUCGCAUAUUUAUCGAGGUAUGUCUGAUGCACCAGGACUUCUAUCU